Molecule: unclassified non-coding RNA, 341 nt
Filed under: soil metagenome
Description: partial contains 5.8S ribosomal RNA, internal transcribed spacer 2, and large subunit ribosomal RNA
Rfam family: 5.8S ribosomal RNA (bases 1-120)
Source: RNAcentral
GAUGAAGAACGCAGCGAAAUGCGAUAAGUAGUGUGAAUUGCAGAAUUCAGUGAAUCAUCGAAUCUUUGAACGCACAUUGCGCCCUUUGGUAUUCCAAAGGGCAUGCCUGUUCGAGCGUCAUUUGUACCCUCAAGCUUUGCUUGGUGUUGGGCGUCUUGUCUCUAGCUUUGCUGGAGACUCGCCUUAAAGUAAUUGGCAGGCGGCCUACUGGUUUCGGAGCGCAGCACAAGUCGCACUCUCUAUCAGCAAAGGUCUAGCAUCCAUUAAGCCUUUUUUUCAACUUUUGACCUCGGAUCAGGUAGGGAUACCCGCUGAACUUAAGCAUAUCAAUAAGCGGAGGA